UCGACCUGAGGUCAGGCAAGAACACCCGCUGAACUUAAGCAUAUCAAUAAGCGGAGGAAAAGAAACUAACUAGGAUUCCCU
This 81-nucleotide ribosomal RNA is filed under the name Trebouxia sp. URa3. RNAcentral describes it as "partial 26S ribosomal RNA". It matches the Rfam family "Eukaryotic large subunit ribosomal RNA", at positions 1 to 80 of the family's 3401-position model. Lineage: Eukaryota; Viridiplantae; Chlorophyta; Trebouxiophyceae; Trebouxiales; Trebouxiaceae. The record is from RNAcentral.